AAAUAUAAAAUCCAACAAAGAACAAUGUCUAUAAUUGCUCGACAGUAGAAAUAGAACCCUCUUCAUUGAACUCUUCUUCUUUCAUUUAGCUCAGUAUUAGACUUUGGGCCUUAUUGUUUGGGCCUAUUUUAAAAUAUAAAAUACUAGCCCAUAAUCUUAAAAUAUGUAUUUAAAGCCCAUAUUUUAUAGAAUUUUUUGUGGAUAUUUGACGGGU
RNAcentral lists this long non-coding RNA (214 nucleotides) under Salvia miltiorrhiza (redroot sage). RNAcentral's name for it is "long non-coding RNA (SMIL_LNC004095)". Lineage: Eukaryota; Viridiplantae; Streptophyta; Magnoliopsida; Lamiales; Lamiaceae. The record is from RNAcentral.